Molecule: ribosomal RNA, 258 nt
Filed under: uncultured bacterium
Lineage: Bacteria
Description: partial 16S ribosomal RNA
Rfam family: Bacterial small subunit ribosomal RNA
Source: RNAcentral
UACGUAGGGGGCAAGCGUUAUCCGGAAUCAUUGGGCGUAAAGAGCUCGUAGGCGGUUUGUCGCGUCUGCUGUAGUGAAAACUGGGGGCCUCAACCCCCAGCCUGCAGGUGGGUACGGGCAGACUAGAGUGCGGUAGGGGAGAUUGGAAUUCCUGGUGUAGCGGUGGAAUGCGCAGAUAUCAGGAGGAACACCGAUGGCGAAGGCAGAUCUCUGGGCCGUAACUGACGCUGAGGAGCGAAAGCAUGGGGAGCGAACAGG